AUGGUCAGGAGGACCACCUCGCCGAUGGCUACGCCGUCUGAGCUGGCGGCUGUGGCGGGAGGAGGGCGCGGGCAGGAGGCCCCUGUCAUCCACUCUUCCCCACUACCUGGUGUGGGGCACCCGUCUAAGGAGAUCGAGAGCCCGCAGACGCCUUCUCUGGUAACUUUGGCACCACCUUUCAGGGUUUCGGUGCCAGGUUAUACUAGGGAGGAGGUGAUCGCGUUUGGUGGGAUCCCGGACCCUAUCUCCGAGGGGAGACGGAUGAGUACUCGCAUCCUCGACAUCCCUGAGGUGGACGAUAUGCAGCAGCGGUGCGCUAUGAGGGCGGCCAAGCUUCAGGAGGCUGCUUUAUUUUCUGGUAUGUCCGUCAACUUAUCUAAUUCCCUAUUGCAUUUUUCUAAUGAGGACAUUAUAAAUAAUGCAAACUAA
Molecule: ribosomal RNA, 429 nt
Filed under: Triticum aestivum (bread wheat)
Lineage: Eukaryota; Viridiplantae; Streptophyta; Magnoliopsida; Poales; Poaceae
Description: partial small subunit ribosomal RNA
Source: RNAcentral